GAUGAAGAACGUAGCGAAAUGCGAUAAGUAAUGUGAAUUGCAGAAUUCAGUGAAUCAUCGAAUCUUUGAACGCACCUUGCACUCCUUGGUAUUCCGAGGAGUACGCCUGUUCGAGUGUUAUGAAGCUCUCAAAACGCAAUUGGCUUAAAACCUGAUUGUUGUUUUGGAUUUGAACUUUGCCGUGUUAUAACGGCUGGUUUUUAAAGUAUUAGCUGGUACUAGAACGAAUUGGUUCUACUCAACGUGAUAAUUAUCUGAUCGUUGAGGACAUUCCUUUCACGAGGAAUGGCCAUAGUAAAUUCAAUGGACUGCUUCUAAUCUGGCUUUAAUUCUUUAUUGGAUUAACCACUUUUCAAAUCUGACCUCGAAUCAGGUGGGACUACCCGCUGAACUUAAGCAUAUCAAUAAGCGGAGGA
This 416-nucleotide unclassified non-coding RNA is filed under the name soil metagenome. RNAcentral describes it as "partial contains 5.8S ribosomal RNA, internal transcribed spacer 2, and large subunit ribosomal RNA". The stretch from base 1 to 120 matches the Rfam family "5.8S ribosomal RNA", at positions 35 to 154 of the family's 154-position model. The record is from RNAcentral.